UGUUUGAUUUUCUCUUACAGGGACUGGUUCAGCCCAGCAAGUCCAAGGUUCCUAAGGCCUCAAGAUGCAGUGCCUGCAUAGAUAAUUAGUGUUUUCCCCACAGAGUGGCACAUUUAAACUGUGACACAUUUCAGUGUUCCAUUUGAUGCUAAUGUUUUCUUCAGUUUUUCUCUUGAUGCAGUUCAUUAACAUGAACAUGCUUUUCUCAUAAAAAAUGUAAGCAGUUGUUUUCUGUAUUAUUCAUAUAAUUACCACUCAGUCAUUUUUAUAAGAUUGUUUCUUUUAUGGCUACAGUUUAUAUAUACACACACACACACACACACACACACAUAUAUAUAUGUAGAUAUGAUGAAAAAUACCUACAUAUAUAUGUGUGUGUGUGUGUGUGUGUAUACACACACACACACACACACACGUAUGUACAAUUUCAUUGUCAGAAAAUAUAGUCAAAUAAAAAUUAUGUAGCAAAAAACAUUGAAAUAUUUCUACAGGAAAAGCCCAGAUCACAGAAUUCUGAGGUUGAAAGGAAAUUCAAAGAUGUUGGUCUUCUAUCAAUGAGUAGAAUUUACCAAAGUCACCAGAAGAUUCUACAUAUUCACUUGCUCUUAAGCUCAAUGUGCUUCCAUACUGAGCAUUUCUGACACUGAUUUUAUUGAGAAGAAUUAUCAGAAAGAGAUCCUUCCCCUUUUGCCCUCUCUGCAUGUGGGAUUUGUCUCUUAGCUUCUCUUCCUUUCCUCUUCUCUCUGAAGUAAUUUCUGUUUACUACCUUUACCACUCCGCCUGUGGUCUCAGGCUCAUUUUGCCUCUCUCAGAAAUGCUUCUCUUAAUUCAACUAGAGUUGCCAGAUUGAGUGAAUGAAAAUAGAGGAUACCCAUUCAAUUUGAAUUUCAAAUAAACAGUGAAUGAAUUUUUAGUAUAAAUGUAUCACAAAUGUUGCUCCUCCUUAUUCAUUGUUUAUCUGAAAUUCAAAUUUAAAUGAGCAUCCUGUAUUUUAUCUGGCAAGCUUACUUCCAGCCCUUGUCCCUGGGAUCUUGUCUGUGUAUUUUCUUUGUUGAAGUUCGCAUUUCCAUCAGUGGAUCGAACUGCACAGAUGACCCUCUUUUGUGUCUGCAUUUUCCUGUGCCUGCAGCUAUUCCCAUCUGGGUUGUGUUCUGUUCUCCCCUUGUUGGUGUCUCAGCUCCGCCACAGGUCCACACCUCCCACUCCUGCUCUCUGCUGUUGGCAGCAUGGCCGUGUUUAUGUAGGACACUUGGAGGUUUCUUGGAGUCCUCCUUUACGCCUCCUCUGCUUCUAGUCAGUAACAUGACCUGUGCCUUCUUCCUUCACUGUCCAUUUUUCCUUCUUCUUCUUUUUCCCUCUCCCUCCUGUCUGUUCCCCUCACUGUCCCCAUUCUGUUCCUAGCACUGCAUGUUCCCUGCCUACCAGCUCAUCCUGCUGGCCUGUCCUGGGCUCCCCCCUGCCCAGGUCAUUUUGCACUGCCCCCUUAAUCAUUUUAAGUUAUUGCACCACUUUUAUUCCUUCCCUGUGAAAAAUCUUCAAAGACUUCCUGUUGUCUGCAAAAUGAAGGACAAGUGCCUUAUUCAAGGUUUUCCAGAAUUGGCCUUUGCUUACACCUCCAGUGUCACAGACAUCAUUAUUCACAUCAGGGUUUAUCACAUUUUAGAUGCACUCACUCAUCCAUUGUAAACUAAUAUUAAAAACUCUGUUAGACAUGGCUUAAACUAUGCCAUCAUUUGGCAUACACAUUAAAAAGAAGUAUUAGCUUAGUUCUUAUUACUGAGUUACAUUAUAAAGUUUAUUCUAAUAAAAAUUUGAUAAUAUUCUAAUUAUAUAAAUAUAAAGAACAGUUUUGAAUUUCUC
RNAcentral lists this long non-coding RNA (1860 nucleotides) under Marmota monax (woodchuck). The record is from RNAcentral. Lineage: Eukaryota; Metazoa; Chordata; Mammalia; Rodentia; Sciuridae.